UUUCUCUAUUUAUCUGUCAUGUCUGUACCUAAGUUCAUACUGACGCCAUGCAAUGAUUAAUGAUUUUGCAAUUUUGCUAGCAUGUGACUAACCGAUAAAUAAAUGAUGAUGAUUUGAAUAUUACGAAGUUUCCACAAAUGGAUGGUGCACGAAGAUACCAGUAACAAUCCAUUUUUUUUCAAACAAGACUGUGUAGUUGGACAUUGGUAGCAGCGAUCCUUUCAUUUCACUGUGCUUCAAUCCCUUUUUAUCGAUUAAAGUUAAAAUAUAACCAGAAACGAUAGGGAUGGUAACAUUUUUCAUAGACCGUAGACUUGGGUUUGCUGUUGUCGUUUUCCUCUUGCAACUUGUGCAGUUGAUUUUUAACAAAUGAUUUGAAAGAGCACCUUGAAGUUUAUAUGGAUUCCAAUUAGUUUGCAAUGGCAUCAUUUUUCCUAGUCUACAAUUAAUUAAGAUCGACAUUGGAGAAGACAAAGAUGACCCUGCAGUUGAA
This is a long non-coding RNA of Agrilus planipennis (emerald ash borer), 493 nucleotides long. RefSeq lists it as uncharacterized. The record is from RefSeq and is a predicted model, not a curated record. Lineage: Eukaryota; Metazoa; Arthropoda; Insecta; Coleoptera; Buprestidae. The transcript is spliced from 4 exons.